RNAcentral lists this ribosomal RNA (20 nucleotides) under Bunodosoma cangicum. Its description in RNAcentral is "partial 28S ribosomal RNA". The record is from RNAcentral. Lineage: Eukaryota; Metazoa; Cnidaria; Anthozoa; Actiniaria; Actiniidae.
GACCUCAGAUCAGGCGAGAU